GACGAACGCUGGCGGCGUGCUUAACACAUGCAAGUCGAACGGAAAGGCCCUGCUUGCAGGGUACUCGAGUGGCGAACGGGUGAGUAACACGUGGGUGAUCUGCCCUGCACUUCGGGAUAAGCCUGGGAAACUGGGUCUAAUACCGGAUAGGAGCCAUUUUUAUUGUGAUGGUUGGAAAGUUUUUUCGUUGUAGGAUGGGCUCUCGGCCUAUCAGCUUGUUGGUGGGGUAAUGGCCUACCAAGGCGGCGACGGGUAGCCGGCCUGGGAGGGUGGACGGCCACAUUGGGACUGAGUUACGGCCCAGAAUCCUACGGGAGGAAGCAGUGGGGAAUAUUGCACGAUGGGCGCAAGCCUGAUGCAGCGACGCCGCGUGGGGGAUGACGGCAUUCAGGUUGUAAACUCCUUUCGCUAGGGACGAAGCUUUUUGUGACGGUACCUAGAUAAGAAGCACCGGCUAACUACGUG
RNAcentral lists this ribosomal RNA (465 nucleotides) under uncultured bacterium. RNAcentral describes it as "partial 16S ribosomal RNA". It matches the Rfam family "Bacterial small subunit ribosomal RNA", at positions 28 to 507 of the family's 1533-position model. The record is from RNAcentral.